UAGGGGAUAUUGCUUAAUGGGCGAAAGCCUGAAGCAGCAACGCCGCGUGUGCGAUGAAGGCCUUCGGGUCGUAAAGCACUUUUUGUCGGGAAGAGGAAGGACGGUACCGGCAGAAUCAGCCUCGGCUAACUACGUGCCAGCAGCCGCGGUAAAACGUAGGAGGCGAGCGUUAUCCGGAUUUACUGGGUGUAAAGCGCGUGCAGGCGGUGGGGUAAGUUGGAUGUGAAAGCUCCCGGGCUCAACUGGGAGAGGUCGUUCAAGACUGCCCAACUAGAGCAUGGUAGGGGAAGGUGGAAUUCCGGGUGUAGUGGUGAAAUGCGUAGAUAUCCGGAGGAACACCAGUGGCGAAGGCGGCCUUCUAGACCGUGACUGACGCUCAGACGCGAAAGCUAGGGUAGCAAACGGGAUUAGAGACCCCGGUAGUCCUAGCCGUAAACGAUGUGAACUUGGCGCGUGGCGGGUAAACGUUGCGUGCCGAGCCACGCGAUAAGUUCACCACCUGGGGACUACGGCCGCAAGGUUAAACU
RNAcentral lists this ribosomal RNA (527 nucleotides) under uncultured Chloroflexota bacterium. Its description in RNAcentral is "bacterial SSU rRNA". It matches the Rfam family "Bacterial small subunit ribosomal RNA", at positions 355 to 901 of the family's 1533-position model. Lineage: Bacteria; Bacillati; Chloroflexota. The record is from RNAcentral.